RNAcentral lists this long non-coding RNA (759 nucleotides) under Cricetulus griseus (Chinese hamster). RNAcentral's name for it is "lncRNA (ENSCGRG00015032491.1)". The record is from RNAcentral. Lineage: Eukaryota; Metazoa; Chordata; Mammalia; Rodentia; Cricetidae.
GGGAGGACCUACCUGGGGAAGGUGGCACACCCCCCACACCCUGCCUGCUACCCUAGGGAUGAGGGGAGGAGCCUCUCCCAGCCAGGAGUUGUCUCCUCCCCUUUGGGGGAACCCCCCUCCCCCCAAACUGGAUCUUCCAGGGGUUGAGGGCUCUUUCUGUCUGCUGGAGAUCUGAGCGGAGGGGCUCUGCCCGGGUCCACUGUUGAGGCGCACGGAAGUUGAGGGACGAGGUCUUCCACUCUCCAGCAAGCUGGAGCCGAUUGCCGCGGGUUCCCUGGAGGGUCCGGGCUUGUGCGUGUCAGGACGCCUCUCGGCGACAGCUUAUAAAGGGUUAUGGAGACUGCCGUGAAGUUAAAGUUUACUCUUAUCUUGGAGGUCAGUGACUGCUUCUUGGAUCAGAAGAUGCAUAAAAGGAGAGAUGAGCUUGUCAUAGAGAAAUAAACGUCGGAGAUGGUGUCUUGUGGUAGUUCUGGCUCCAUAAAUUUGUGCAAGGCCCUUGUUUCUGGAGUCACAGUCAUCCAAGAGGGGAAUUGGAUACUCUGGCCUGCCUACUAAUAUGGAUGUCGCAGUCACCAAAGGAAACGACUUGUGUGGAGACGCUCUUUAACGCCGUACAGUAUGCAAGGGACAGGGUUUCCCUGUGGCUUUGGAGGUUGUCCUGGAACUAGCUCUUGUAGACCAGGCUGGUCUCGAACUCACAGAUGUCCGCCUGCCUCUACCUCCCAAGUUCAAGAUUAAAGGCGCACGCCACCAAUGCCC